RNAcentral lists this transfer RNA (90 nucleotides) under Bacteriovoracaceae bacterium. RNAcentral describes it as "tRNA-Ser". It matches the Rfam family "tRNA". Rfam says of the family: Transfer RNA (tRNA) molecules are approximately 80 nucleotides in length. Their secondary structure includes four short double-helical elements and three loops (D, anti-codon, and T loops). Further hydrogen bonds mediate the characteristic L-shaped molecular structure. tRNAs have two regions of fundamental functional importance: the anti-codon, which is responsible for specific mRNA codon recognition, and the 3' end, to which the tRNAs corresponding amino acid is attached (by aminoacyl-tRNA synthetases). tRNAs cope with the degeneracy of the genetic code in two manners: having more than one tRNA (with a specific anti-codon) for a particular amino acid; and 'wobble' base-pairing, i.e. permitting non-standard base-pairing at the 3rd anti-codon position. Lineage: Bacteria; Pseudomonadati; Bdellovibrionota; Bacteriovoracia; Bacteriovoracales; Bacteriovoracaceae. The record is from RNAcentral.
GGAGACGUGGGUGAGUGGCUUAAACCAACGCCUUGCUAAGGCGUCGAACGGGCAACCGUUCCGAGAGUUCGAAUCUCUCCGUCUCCGCCA